Cyprinodon tularosa is the source of this 891-nucleotide long non-coding RNA. RefSeq lists it as uncharacterized. The transcript is spliced from 2 exons. Lineage: Eukaryota; Metazoa; Chordata; Actinopteri; Cyprinodontiformes; Cyprinodontidae. The record is from RefSeq and is a predicted model, not a curated record.
AGAAUAGAGAGAACGAAGAAGCUAAUGGAGUUGUGCUGGUAAAGAGAGACAAUAAGAGAAAAUUGACCAUUGAAAAGACUACCUGCUGUCUGGAAUAUUUUUCACGUUUUUGGAGGAGGAGCUUUCCACAUAUAUUUUUUUUCCCUGACCGAAUUCGGGAGUGUUUUAUGUUACAGAACUGGACUUGGCCUUUAAGUUUCUGCUGGAGAUUGGACCGAGAAAGUCGAUUGCUGAGUUGGAUUCCACUAUUGAGAAACAAGAUGGCGAGCCGUAACCCAGGAGCCCAGUAACCGCCGUCUAGCAGGAGAUACGCCCUCUGCUGGACAUUUCAAAUCAUCCAAACUGGUAUGACCUGCCCAUUUUUUCCUGCUAAAAAAAAGCAGUGGAUUCAGAAUUAACUCUUCAGGAUCAACAGAGAGAAAAGACAUUGAUUGAAGCACAAGUUAUCCAGUCUUUUGCUGGAUUUGGUUCUUUUGUGUUUUAUUGAUUUUCUUUCUGGAUCAUUUUCAGUAUUCAUUGUAAUUGUGUGGAAUGUAAAUUGUCUGUUGGGUUAUAAUAGAAAAAAGAAAUAGUUAAAACAGGAAAUUAACACCCCUUAACUUCCUAGAAAGAACUCUAAAUAACUAAAAUUGAUUAAAAAAUAGAUUAAAUUUGAACAAACUAUAAAUAAAAUAGUUAAUCGUACCAAUCUUGAACUUAAAUAGAACUAUAACCUAGGUUUAAAUAAAUAGUAUCCUUUAAUACCUAAAAUUAGGUGUAAAUGUGAAACAGGGGUCAAACCGAUUAUUCUGAAAGAAACAGGGAAACUAUUUUGAUUGAAUUUUGUGUCAUUGUAUGUGUAUUGUUUGUAAUAUUGUUCUUUUCAAAUAAUAAGCCGGCAGUUUAAUCAUA